This 255-nucleotide ribosomal RNA is filed under the name uncultured bacterium. Its description in RNAcentral is "partial 16S ribosomal RNA". It matches the Rfam family "Bacterial small subunit ribosomal RNA", at positions 526 to 779 of the family's 1533-position model. The record is from RNAcentral.
CGUAGGCGGCAAGCGUUGUCCGGAUUUAUUGGGUUUUAAAGGGUGCGUAGGCGGUCCUAUAAGUCAGUGCUGAAAUAUCCCGGCUUAACCGGGAGGGUGGCAUUGAUACUGUAGGACUUGAGUAAAGUUGAGGUAGGCGGAAUUGACGGUGUAGCGGUGAAAUGCUUAGAUAUCGUCAAGAACACCGAUAGUGAAGACAGCUUACUAAACUUUAACUGACACUGAGGCACGAAAGUGUGGGGAUCAAACAGGAUU